UGCGUGGGGAGCAAGCGUUGUUCGGAUUUACUGGGCGUAAAGGGCGCGUAGGCGGUCAGCACAAGUCAGUUGUGAAAUCUCCGGGCUUAACUCGGAAAGGUCAACUGAUACUGUGCGACUAGAGUGCAGAAGGGGCAACUGGAAUUCUCGGUGUAGCGGUGAAAUGCGUAGAUAUCGAGAGGAACACCUGCGGCGAAGGCGGGUUGCUGGGCUGACACUGACGCUGAUGCGCGAAAGCCAGGGGAGCGAACGGG
RNAcentral lists this ribosomal RNA (254 nucleotides) under uncultured bacterium. RNAcentral describes it as "partial 16S ribosomal RNA". It matches the Rfam family "Bacterial small subunit ribosomal RNA", at positions 524 to 776 of the family's 1533-position model. The record is from RNAcentral.